GGGAAAGCGCCUGUCUAGUAAGCAGGAGAUCACAAGUUCGAGUCUCGUUGGGACCA
This 56-nucleotide transfer RNA is filed under the name Daphnia magna. It matches the Rfam family "tRNA", at positions 17 to 71 of the family's 71-position model. From Rfam's summary of the family: Transfer RNA (tRNA) molecules are approximately 80 nucleotides in length. Their secondary structure includes four short double-helical elements and three loops (D, anti-codon, and T loops). Lineage: Eukaryota; Metazoa; Arthropoda; Branchiopoda; Diplostraca; Daphniidae. The record is from Rfam by way of RNAcentral.